GCUAGCGUGGCAGAGAUCGGCAAAUGCAA
Molecule: transfer RNA, 29 nt
Filed under: Coccyzus americanus
Lineage: Eukaryota; Metazoa; Chordata; Aves; Cuculiformes; Coccyzidae
Description: partial tRNA-Leu
Source: RNAcentral